UUUGAUUGCAAACAUUUGCUUUCUUUUAGGAGUUCAAAUUUCUGAGGAAAUGGAAAAUACUAAAGCAUGCAUUGCAAUUACAUUUUUUACCCAUUUUUUCUACCUUGCUAUGUUCUUUUGGAUGCUGGGUUCAGCUCUCCUCCUGCUUUACAGAACAUUUGCAGUAGGUGAUGAUUUUAGUUUGGGUGUAUGGAUUGGUUUUAAAUGCACUCUUGGUUAUGGGGGACCGCUCAUCAUUGCAGCUAUAACAUAUGCAGUAACUGCUCCUAAAGAAGAAUAUGUGCGAGGACACAAUAUCUGCUGGCUCAACUGGGAAGAAUCUAAAGCUCUACUUGCAUUUGUAAUUCCUGUAAUAGUGAUAGUGUUUAUUAAUCUGAUUAUCCUAACAGUGGUAUUAUAUAAAAUGUUUAAAAGAAGAAAGACAAAUAGCACCAACAUGGUAGACUCAAACUCGGCAGUUGUUUUUACAAAAGCUGUGACUGUCCUAACAUCACUAUUUGGAAUAAAUUGGAUUGUAGGAAUUGGCACCAUAGUUUUCCCAACCAACAAAGGCAUUCACAUCGCAUCGACAUUACUCUUCUCUCUACAGGGAAUUUUACUUUUGAUAUUUGGUUUAUUACUGGAUAAAAAGGUGCGCCAAACAUUGGUAGAAUGUUGGAAAGGCGUAAGAUUGAUUUUCUUAUUUAGUCUGUUAGCUCAUAAUUUUGUUGUGGUUUUUAUUUUUGUUUUGUUUUUGCCCUAUAGAGAAUAUGUAGAGCACGUGAAGAGGACUCACCCAAAUUUGAGAUGGAUUUGAGUCAAAGAGGUAUGUCAACGUUGGAAGUCACUUUCUAGAAUUUAGCUAGUGAUAAAAUGACAAAAUCUAGUGAGAAAAUUGCUUUAUUAAGAACUGAAUUAAUU
Long non-coding RNA from Oryzias melastigma (Indian medaka), 900 nucleotides. RefSeq lists it as uncharacterized. The transcript is spliced from 3 exons. The record is from RefSeq and is a predicted model, not a curated record. NCBI's taxonomy places the organism in Eukaryota, Metazoa, Chordata, Actinopteri, Beloniformes, Adrianichthyidae.